This is a non-coding RNA of Misgurnus anguillicaudatus (oriental weatherfish), 399 nucleotides long. NCBI's taxonomy places the organism in Eukaryota, Metazoa, Chordata, Actinopteri, Cypriniformes, Cobitidae. The record is from RefSeq and is a predicted model, not a curated record.
AGAUUUUGAUGAUCACAUCUGAGCACAUUUUGAGACGUUGGUGAGAUCUCCUAAACUCCAGAAGAGAUACAAGUGCAAGCGGCUGCCAUGUGUUUACAAUGAAGGAACAAUCAUGCUUUUAUAUUGGCUAGCUGUCCCAUAAUUCAUCGCUGCAUGCCUGGCUGUUCCUAACACGGAGACGUAGGUGAUUACGGAAGAUUAAUGGAUGCUUUCAGAACGGAGCGUCUGGACAACGGCCCGAGCUGUCAGAGGAGAUGGCAACUUUUGCUGGAAGGUCCACCCAUUCUUCCCCACCUGAAACCCCUCCUCGCUACUGUAUGUAUGCUGAUCUGAAUCCUCUAUCGUUUCCAGCUCAAGAUUACACACCUGUCUGGCACGUACAAGCAGCCAGGAUGAGAC